Molecule: ribosomal RNA, 503 nt
Filed under: uncultured bacterium
Lineage: Bacteria
Description: bacterial SSU rRNA
Rfam family: Bacterial small subunit ribosomal RNA
Source: RNAcentral
AUCCUGGCUCAGGAUGAACGCUAGCUACAGGCUUAACACAUGCAAGUCGAGGGGCAGCAUGAGAUUAGCUUGCUAAUCUUGAUGGCGACCGGCGCACGGGUGAGUAACGCGUAUCCAACCUUCCCUAUAGUAGAGGAUAGCCCGGCGAAAGUCGGAUUAAUACUCUAUGUUUUCCAAUGCAGACAUCUAAAAUGGAACAAAGGCUUGCCGCUAUAGGAUGGGGAUGCGUCUGAUUAGGUUGUUGGCGGGGUAACGGCCCACCAAGCCUUCGAUCAGUAGGGGUUCUGAGAGGAAGGUCCCCCACAUUGGAACUGAGACACGGUCCAAACUCCUACGGGAGGCAGCAGUGAGGAAUAUUGGUCAAUGGGCGAGAGCCUGAACCAGCCAAGUAGCGUGCAGGAUGACGGCCCUAUGGGUUGUAAACUGCUUUUAUGCGGGGAUAAAGUGGCGUACGUGUACGUUUUGUAGGUACCGCAUGAAUAAGGACCGGCUAAUUCCGUGCC